AGAGUUUGAUCCUGGCUCAGAUUGAACGCUGGCGGAAUGCUUUACACAUGCAAGUCGAGCGGCAGCGCGGGGGCAACCCUGGCGGCGAGCGGCGAACGGGUGAGUAAUGUAUCGGAACGUACCCAGUCGUGGGGGAUAACUAUCCGAAAGGAUAGCUAAUACCGCAUACGUCCUGAGGGAGAAAGCGGGGGACCGUAAGGCCUCGCGCGAUUGGAGCGGCCGAUAUCGGAUUAGCUAGUUGGUGAGGUAAGGGCUCACCAAGGCGACGAUCCGUAGCUGGUCUGAGAGGACGACCAGCCACACUGGAACUGAGACACGGUCCAGACUCCUACGGGAGGCAGCAGUGGGGAAUUUUGGACAAUGGGGGCAACCCUGAUCCAGCCAUUCCGCGUGAGUGAAGAAGGCCUU
RNAcentral lists this ribosomal RNA (408 nucleotides) under uncultured bacterium. Its description in RNAcentral is "bacterial SSU rRNA". It matches the Rfam family "Bacterial small subunit ribosomal RNA", at positions 8 to 418 of the family's 1533-position model. The record is from RNAcentral.